ACGCUGGCGGCGUGCCUAAUACAUGCAAGUAGAACGCUGAAGCUUGGUGCUUGCACCGAGCGGAGGAGUUGCGAACGGGUGAGUAACGCGUAGGUAACCUGCCUCUUAGCGGGGGAUAACUAUUGGAAACGAUAGCUAAUACCGCAUAAAAGUCGACAUUGCAUGAUGUUGACUUGAAAGGUGCAACUGCAUCACUAAGAGAUGGACCUGCGUUGUAUUAGCUAGUUGGUGAGGUAACGGCUCACCAAGGCGACGAUACAUAGCCGACCUGAGAGGGUGAUCGGCCACACUGGGACUGAGACACGGCCCAGACUCCUACGGGAGGCAGCAGUAGGGAAUCUUCGGCAAUGGACGGAAGUCUGACCGAGCAACGCCGCGUGAGUGAAGAAGGUUUUCGGAUCGUAAAGCUCUGUUGUAAGAGAAGAACGAGUGUGAGAGUGGAAAGUUCACACUGUGACGGUAACUUACCAGAAAGGGACGGCUAACUACGUGCCAGCAGCCGCGGUAAUACGUAGGUCCCGAGCGUUAUCCGGAUUUAUUGGGCGUAAAGCGAGCGCAGGCGGUUAGAUAAGUCUGAAGUUAAAGGCUGUGGCUUAACCAUAGUACGCUUUGGAAACUGUUUAACUUGAGUGCAGAAGGGGAGAGUGGAAUUCCAUGUGUAGCGGUGAAAUGCGUAGAUAUAUGGAGGAACACCGGUGGCGAAAGCGGCUCUCUGGUCUGUAACUGACGCUGAGGCUCGAAAGCGUGGGGAGCGAACAGGAUUAGAUACCCUGGUAGUCCACGCCGUAAACGAUGAGUGCUAGGUGUUGGGUCCUUUCCGGGACUCAGUGCCGCAGCUAACGCAUUAAGCACUCCGCCUGGGGAGUACGACCGCAAGGUUGAAACUCAAAGGAAUUGACGGGGGCCCGCAC
RNAcentral lists this ribosomal RNA (911 nucleotides) under uncultured bacterium. RNAcentral's name for it is "bacterial SSU rRNA". It matches the Rfam family "Bacterial small subunit ribosomal RNA", at positions 33 to 926 of the family's 1533-position model. The record is from RNAcentral.